CGAUGCAUGUCGUGUGGUGGAAAGCUUUUGCGGUGUGGGAUGGGCCCGCGGCCUAUCAGCUUGUUGGUGAGGUUACGGCUCACCAAGGCGACGACGGGUAGCCGGCCUGAGAGGGUGACCGGCCACACUGGGACUGAGAUACGGCCCAGACUCCUACGGGAGGCAGCAGUGGGGAAUAUUGCACAAUGGGCGCAAGCCUGAUGCAGCGACGCCGCGUGAGGGAUGACGGCCUUCGGGUUGUAAACCUCUUUCGCCAGGGACGAAGCGCAAGUGACGGUACCUGGAGAAGAAGGACCGGCCAACUACGUGCCAGCA
Molecule: ribosomal RNA, 315 nt
Filed under: Mycobacterium sp. Ri483a
Lineage: Bacteria; Bacillati; Actinomycetota; Actinomycetes; Mycobacteriales; Mycobacteriaceae
Description: bacterial SSU rRNA
Rfam family: Bacterial small subunit ribosomal RNA
Source: RNAcentral